Long non-coding RNA from Calidris pugnax (ruff), 428 nucleotides. RefSeq lists it as uncharacterized. The transcript is spliced from 3 exons. The record is from RefSeq and is a predicted model, not a curated record. NCBI's taxonomy places the organism in Eukaryota, Metazoa, Chordata, Aves, Charadriiformes, Scolopacidae.
CCCGUGUGGAUCCCUCUGGAGCUGCAUCCUGUUUGCACCAUGGGAUUUGAUGCUACAUGGAUCUGAAAGGAAGGUCAAUGGAUAUUGUGUGAGGACACUUGGACUCUUGCCCGGCCUGUGGAGGUACCUUGGCAAGACUCAGUAAACUUCUGAAGAGGGAGAAAAAGAUGAACAAAGUCUACCAUUGCCUUUAUCUGAGCCUGGCACAGUAUUGAGAGGGAUUUUUUCUUCCCGGGAGCAAAACACCUCUGCUGCCAUUGUACGGUGGAUAUUCCUGGUGAUGCUGGAGCAGGAUGCAAAAACAGCAAAGCAGGAAUUGUUGCAAAGAUCUAUAGCCAAGAAACCUAUCAAGUCUAGUGGGUGCUUUCUACAACCUUAGCCUCCAACUCCAGUGGGAAGACUUGAUGUAGACUGAUCUGGCUUUCCAG